RNAcentral lists this non-coding RNA (32 nucleotides) under Rattus norvegicus (Norway rat). Lineage: Eukaryota; Metazoa; Chordata; Mammalia; Rodentia; Muridae. The record is from RNAcentral.
UACACUACAGCGUUUUGUGCUGCAUGUGCACC